UGGGAACUCUGACAUGCUCCCCACAGGGGCUCUUUAACACUGUUUCCUAUCGCUCACUGUAUUUCAGGUGUGCAUUUGGCUACAGUGGACUCGACUGUAAGGACAAAUUUCAGCUGAUCCUCACUAUUGUGGGC
RNAcentral lists this small RNA (134 nucleotides) under Pan troglodytes (chimpanzee). Its description in RNAcentral is "retained intron". The record is from RNAcentral. Lineage: Eukaryota; Metazoa; Chordata; Mammalia; Primates; Hominidae.